This 440-nucleotide ribosomal RNA is filed under the name uncultured bacterium. RNAcentral's name for it is "partial 16S ribosomal RNA". It matches the Rfam family "Bacterial small subunit ribosomal RNA", at positions 338 to 795 of the family's 1533-position model. The record is from RNAcentral.
CCUACGAGGCGCAGCAGUGGGGAAUAUUGCACAAUGGGGGAAACCCUGAUGCAGCGACGCCGCGUGAGUGAAGAAGUAAUUCGUUAUGUAAAGCUCUAUCAGCAGGGAAGAAAAUGACGGUACCGGAGUAAGAAGCCACGGCUAACUACGUGCCAGCAGCCGCGGUAAUACGAAGGGUGCAAGCGUUAUCCGGAUUUACUAGGUGUAAAGGGCGCGUAGACGGCCCUGCAAGUCUGGAGUGAAAGGCGGGGGCUCAACCCCCGGACUGUUCUGGAAACGGUACGGCUGGAGUGCAGGAGAGGUAAGUGGAAUUCCUAGUGUAGCGGAGAAAUGCGUAGAUAUUAGGAGGAACACCAGGGGCGAAGGCGGCUUACUGGACUGUAACUGACGUUGAGGCUCGAAAGCGUGGGGAGCAAACAGGAUUAGAUACCCCUGUAGUC